This is a long non-coding RNA of Xenia sp. Carnegie-2017, 659 nucleotides long. RefSeq lists it as uncharacterized. The transcript is spliced from 3 exons. Lineage: Eukaryota; Metazoa; Cnidaria; Anthozoa; Malacalcyonacea; Xeniidae. The record is from RefSeq and is a predicted model, not a curated record.
AUAUACCAGGAGAGAGUAUUUCUCGUUGUAAUCCGUCAUCUGCGGUGGGCGACCCACAUCUGGGGCGAGAGAGUAUUUCUCAUUGUAAUUCGUCAGAGUCAGACCUACUUUGUCAAGUGUAUGAGAUUUCUACUUCAGAAGAGAGGUUGCUGUGAGAGAGAAAGCAUUGACAGUCAAACUGUAGCGUGUAAAACUGGAGACUUGACUAGUUGACUUGAUUCUUGUAUAUUUCUUUACGUGGUUAACUUGGCUUUAAAAGAAAAGCAUAGACAUGGGUUGCAAGCUUUGCAAGAAAUUAAACAACAAGAGAAGGUUGGAACAUGGGGAGCGUGACGUAACCAAUGGUGAACUAAAUGUUCAAGAUCGUCUUGGAGAAGAGACGGCAGAAAUAGAAAAUUGUAGAAGACGUCGUUCCAUACAAGAGACUCUGGUUGAAGAAUUUGAUUUUUUACCUCAUGUCUUGGAUUUGAUAAGAGAAUAUGGAUAUUCCAUGGAAGCGUGGGAUGAUUUUGUGUUGAAUGUUCAGUCAACACAAGAAGAAAUGUAAAUAUGAAUGUACUAGUUACCAACUUUCAGGUCCGUUUUAAAACGUUGCAUUUUACAGGAGCCGAAUGUAUUUAAAACAAAAGAAAUAAAUAUUUACUUUAUUAUCGUAAAAA